RNAcentral lists this ribosomal RNA (491 nucleotides) under uncultured bacterium. Its description in RNAcentral is "partial 16S ribosomal RNA". It matches the Rfam family "Bacterial small subunit ribosomal RNA", at positions 29 to 507 of the family's 1533-position model. The record is from RNAcentral.
AGUGAACGCUGGCGGUAGGCCUAACACAUGCAAGUCGAACGGCAGCACAGUAAGAGCUUGCUCUUACGGGUGGCGAGUGGCGGACGGGUGAGGAAUACAUCGGAAUCUACUUUUUCGUGGGGGAUAACGUAGGGAAACUUACGCUAAUACCGCAUACGACCUACGGGUGAAAGCAGGGGAUCUUCGGACCUUGCGCGAUUGAAUGAGCCGAUGUCGGAUUAGCUAGUUGGCGGGGUAAGGCCCACCAAGGCGACGAUCCGUAGCUGGUCUGAGAGGAUGAUCAGCCACACUGGAACUGAGACACGGUCCAGACUCCUACGGGAGGCAGCAGUGGGGAAUAUUGGACAAUGGGCGCAAGCCUGAUCCAGCCAUACCGCGUGGGUGAAGAAGGCCUUCGGGUUGUAAAGCCCUUUUGUUGGGAAAGAAAAGCAGCAGGUUAAUACCCCGCUGUUCUGACGGUACCCAAAGAGUAAGCACCGGCUAACUUCGUG